This 1079-nucleotide long non-coding RNA is filed under the name Anas platyrhynchos platyrhynchos (common mallard). RNAcentral's name for it is "lncRNA (ENSAPLG00000029775.1)". Lineage: Eukaryota; Metazoa; Chordata; Aves; Anseriformes; Anatidae. The record is from RNAcentral.
GCCUUGAUGGAGCACCAGGGGGAAGAGAAGUCUCUUUGAACAGAAAUGUUGAACAGCUGGGGAGAAAAAAAUGAGUGAGAUUAAGCAGGUGAAAGGAACAGCAGACUGAAUCACACAGUAUAUAGAGGCUUAUACAGUUAUCCAUACACCCCCUGAGUUCCACUUGGUAUGCAUGUGCUUAACUUUCCCAGUGAUUUCAACUAUCAAAAUACCCUGCACAAAACUGGAGACUUUGAAUGUGCUGAAAUCAAGCCACAUUUUGAGGUUGCUCUGCUCACUGAACACUAUUAUUAAAGUUUUUCUAGUCGUGAAUUUCCUCUGGUAUGCUCACUGAAUCAUCACGUACAUCUAUGAGAAGAUUUAAGGCAGCACUAAUGCAGCUGUACUGGACUUGAAUGGUGAAACUGGCGACAGAGUAAAUACCUGCAGGUUGACCACCAGCUAUGAAGAAUGUACCACAGUGUGAGGUCCAAACUCAGAAGUAAGCCACACUCAGCUCACACCCAGCAUUGCUGCAAUUCUAUGUGCCCUCUGCUGUAUAUAACUACACAUAAGAGAAAAGAUCUCUCUUUGCUCUACACCAGUUAGACUACCUACAUCUCAGCCAGCUGGAGGCCUGGCUGUGCUCCAUAAAGGACCCCUGGCUCAAGACUCACAAUGUACACCUAACCCCUUUGGCAAGCAAAGCAGACAGAUUUCAAGGAGGAAUUUCUAAAUUGCAGAUGCAGCACUUUGAAGCCUCAGAAAGUUAGAAAACUCUGAGAAGGAAACAAACAAACAAGCAAACCAGGAACAGAAAUUCUGUGUUAAAUUUCUGAUGGUUUAUAUCACUCCUACUGUAAAUCCCGGAAUUAAAAUCAAGAUAAAGAGUUAAAAUCUGCAAACUUUCUAUCUUCUUGAUUUGGUCUAUUUGCAUGCAACAACUUAAAAGCUUCCUUUCACGCAGAAAAAAGAACUUUUUUUCUUUACCCUGUUAACAUUUUCCCCAUCCAUGGGGGAUAUUCCUCUUACAAGUACAAACUAUUUUAUUUCACUGGGGAAAAAAUAAAUUAGAAAUGAAAUGCUUUAAAAGCCUAUUA